Molecule: ribosomal RNA, 700 nt
Filed under: uncultured bacterium
Lineage: Bacteria
Description: bacterial SSU rRNA
Rfam family: Bacterial small subunit ribosomal RNA
Source: RNAcentral
AGUGGCGGACGAGUGAGUAACGCGUAAGAAUCUAACUUCAGGACGGGGACAACAGUUGGAAACGACUGCUAAUACCCGAUGUGCCGCAAGGUGAAACCUAAUUGGCCUGGAGAAGAGCUUGCGUCUGAUUAGCUAGUUGGUGGGGUAAAGGCCUACCAAGGCGACGAUCAGUAGCUGGUCUGAGAGGAUGAGCAGCCACACUGGGACUGAGACACGGCCCAGACUCCUACGGGAGGCAGCAGUGGGGAAUUUUCCGCAAUGGGCGAAAGCCUGACGGAGCAACGCCGCGUGAGGGAGGAAGGUCUUUGGAUUGUAAACCUCUUUUCUCAAGGAAGAAGUUCUGACGGUACUUGAGGAAUCAGCCUCGGCUAACUCCGUGCCAGCAGCCGCGGUAAUACGGGGGAGGCAAGCGUUAUCCGGAAUUAUUGGGCGUAAAGCGUCCGCAGGUGGUCAGCCAAGUCUGCCGUCAAAUCAGGUUGCUUAACGACCUAAAGGCGGUGGAAACUGGCAGACUAGAGAGCAGUAGGGGUAGCAGGAAUUCCCAGUGUAGCGGUGAAAUGCGUAGAGAUUGGGAAGAACAUCGGUGGCGAAAGCGUGCUACUGGGCUGUAUCUGACACUCAGGGACGAAAGCUAGGGGAGCGAAAGGGAUUAGAUACCCCUGUAGUCCUAGCCGUAAACGAUGGAUACUAGGCGUGGCUU